UACGUAGGGUGCGAGCGUUAAUCGGAAUUACUGGGCGUAAAGUGUGCGCAGGCGGCCGAGCAAGUCGAGUGUGAAAGCCCCGAGCUUAACUUGGGAACUGCGCUCGAAACUACUUGGCUGGAGUGUGGCAGAGGAAGGUGGAAUUCCACGUGUAGCGGUGAAAUACGUAGAGAUGUGGAGGAACACCGAUGGCGAAGGCAGCCUUCUGGGCCAACACUGACGCUCAUGCACGAAAGCGUGGGGAGCAAACAGG
RNAcentral lists this ribosomal RNA (253 nucleotides) under uncultured bacterium. RNAcentral's name for it is "partial 16S ribosomal RNA". It matches the Rfam family "Bacterial small subunit ribosomal RNA", at positions 524 to 776 of the family's 1533-position model. The record is from RNAcentral.